CUCAAGCGCUGCCACGGUCUUAUAUGGACGGGAGGAGGCUGCUCUUCUGAUGCAGUGAGUCAGCUCAGAGUCCAGCGGUUAACACCAUUGCACACAGCGCUCCUUUGCUUAGGGGAAGAAUCCCAGCACAGAAAUGACUUAUAAGUGCAGCAAUUACUCAGGCCAUGUCUACACUUACUGGGGAUCGAUGCUGCUGUGAUCGAUGCAGUGGGGGUCGAUUUAGUGGGUGAAGAGCGCUCUCCAGUCAACUCCAGUACUCCACCGGAACAAGAGGGGUAAGGUAAGUCGACAGGAGAGUAUCUCCCCAUUGACGCAGCACGGUGUGGAUACCACGAUAAAUAUCACCAUCCUUCACUAGAUCAAGGAUGCCACAAACAGAACAGAGGACUUCUGGAUGCAGCAAGGAUCUCGCUCGGAGAGAAGGAACUCUUCAUGUGGAGCAAGGACCAUGGGCAGACCGGAGAUGGUGGGAAAAGUUUUACAUCAGCCAGGAAAUUUUCUCUUUUCAGCAAUUUCACAUAAACAUGAAGAAAAAAAAUCCCCCUUUGUCUGCAGAAGUUUUAUUAGUGAUUUUUAUAUCAAGCAACAACUGAUUCUUGCUUUCACAAGGAAGUACAAACUUUUACAAAAAAUAUGCACAAAGUUUUCUAUUGCUGUAACAUUUCUAAGGAAAUUCUACACGUAUAUCAGAAAUGGAUAUUUCACAGGACAAAAAAAAAGACACGUCCAAUUUGGAUCCCUCAGGUGGAGAUCGAUGAGACAGCAUGUCCCACAGAGCAAAGGAGGACUCAGUUAUCCACUUACAUUAUUCCCUGAUAUCCCCAGGAGCAAAAGGUAGAGAGUGACUUGCAGACCAGAACCACAUUUAAAAGCCUGUCCGGCAUAACCCUCUGGAAUCUUUCUGAGACAAAGCAGCAAACCCACCACAGAGCCACUCUUCCUCAAGAAGCUACAGGGUGCCCAGCUUGAUAUCCUGAGGUCUGAUCUGCAGAUGUGCUGAGCAUUCAGAGCUACAACUGAAGUCAGUGGGAGCUGUGCUUUGAACAUAUAAAGCAGGAAUAAGAACACAGGGAUUGCCAUACUGGAUCAGACCAGUGGACCAUCAUUUAGCUUCUUGUCUAGCAGUGGCCACUACUAACUACAUCAAAGGAAAGUGCAAGAGACCCUGCAGAAGUCACUUAUGGAAUAACCUACUCACAAGGAAAGUGUCUUCCUAUCCUUCAUACUCAUGGCUCCAGCGUGGAGGGACAAUUCACAAAGGACUAUACAUGGUAUGUUCAGUAUAUAUCUAGGACAGCUCCCAUGACCGUGUAAGAGUAAUACUGCGCCCCCCAACCCCCAUUUAUAGAUUAUGUCAUCUUUCCCCCAAGAUAGGCUGGCUAUAGGCUUCUGAGGCUUGCACACCAAAUAGUGUGGCACAUUCUGGGCUCAGGAUUUGUUUUUAAAUUAAACAUUAAACAAGAGAUGAUCCUUGUUUCUAAGAAAUCCAUUCCAGCAAGACCUGGAGCCCAGACCUCUGAACUGAAAAGAAGUAAGGCUACCUACUGAGUUAAUAGAAACUCUGGUUUUCUCCCAUUGGUACAGUAAUCUGGUUGUAGUCUAUAAGCAACAAUUUGAUAUCCAAAAGAUGUGUAUGUCUUCCACAGACUCCAUUUUUCUUGGAACCUUCCUAUCUGAAUGCUGACCUGGCUCAGUCAUGCUCAGGAAUCAGACACGGCUGGAUCAACACAACCAUGCUCUCCUAAGAAUUCUGUAUUACAAAUGUGCUGAAUGAUCGUCAAGAAGAGUUUCUUUUUCUCAUCCCUCUCCACAGCAUAGAGAUCCUGACCAUUAUACUUUGGAAUGUGUUUCUGGAGUCAAAAACAAAAACAUGCUGUGUAUUCUCAAGGUUUUAAAGUACCAUCUCAGCCUCCCUGAUAGUUAAAGAUACCAAAACCAAGGGUGGAUUUGAUUUUAUAAAACCUUGUUGACCAUGUCUCAGGUUUUCAAGAACCAAACCCAAAGCUAGGAGUGAAGCCAUGUUCCAUUUUAUUUAAACACAAAUAAGAUUUUUAUUUGUUUUUAGCGAGUGUAAGAGUCAGAUGAGGUAGGAUUUCAUUCUGGUUUCUGGCCCAUGUCUUCUCCUGCUGUUAUAACGAGCACUGUGCUGUAAAUAAGUUGAAUAUGCCAGCUCAUUCAUCAAAAAAGAAAAAACCUCUGUCCAGUUCAGAUGAAGACAGGAGCUGUUUUCUGAUAAUCAACCUUCUUUCUAUAUCUUCUCACACAGUGGGAAGCUUGUUCUGGAGAGUUAUUCAUUUCAUAAUAGGACUUGUGCUUCAUAAAGGCUAUAGAUUUGUCUCCUUUUCCCCUAAUCAGAUAUUGUUCCUUUCCAGUGAAUAUCUUAACUCUACCUUUUGAAUCAGCUCCCUGUGAUAAAUCCCAAAGGCAGAGCAGAUCUGCACGAAACCCUUUUCUUCACUAUACUUGCUACAAUUUGGAAAUGCUCUGACUGACAUGGGGAGAAAUGCCAAGCGAAGCAAGAGAUUUGAAACAGGGGGUUUCAAAGUAAAUGGCUUUAAAAUAAGUUACUGUUCCUCUAACAAUGAAGAGAAUGGACCUUCCUCAGAGUCCCAGGCAUGGUAAACUGAUCUCUGUAGGAUAUUUAAAUCCUGACCCUACUCCAAACUUCUAUACUGAAUUCCCAGUCUAACAGUCUGGGGUUCACAUUUGUUCUUAUUAACUGUAUUCACACUGCAGUACUAGAAAACCAGACCCUAUACAGUUUGCAGACAUUUAGAACACAGUCUGAUUUAGGCUUCAUCCGUACUGAGGUAUAGUCUUAUCUUCAAGGUAGCAGCUACCUUGUUGUUUUUCAUAUGCACUCACUACCAUGAGUCUACACAUGUUGUUAGAUCCAUCUAAGUAGAUGGUGAAGCUGGGUGUGUGGUGGAGGAUGGAUCUCCAGAGCAAAGCCCUGUACUAGGAAAGAAUUUAAAUAUAAUUGUAGGGACUAAAAUGAAAGGGAAUUCAUUGGGAAUGUUUUCUUCCCAUCAUAGUUCUUCAGGAGGCCUAUGGACAGAAUAUUAACCAUGAGCAUUUCCAUGGAAUAAUGGCUAAUUCGAUUGUGCUUAUGAAGUGGGAGUGAAAUGCGGGUGCUUCCAUUUAUUUCAGUAGGCUUUGAAUCAGGUCUUUUGACCAUUUCUCUUUCAGACUGUUUUGGAGUGGUUGCUACCCUUCUCACACCCACAUGGGGCCUGAUUCUCAUUUAUACUAAACCCCUUUUACCCCUCUGUGGCAGGGUAAAAUGACCUUAAAGUGAAAAUAAAUUAUGUUUACACCCACUUUAAGGCUACUUUAUACUUCCAGCACUGUGUAAAGGGAUUUUAGUUUAGAUAGGAAUCAGAAGGAUGUAUAGGACAUAAAUGAGGAGUUAAGUUAAAAAUAAUCAGAAAAAAAUAGUUUGUUAAUUAUGUUCCUGAAAUUAUGACCUCUUUUACAUUUCUCAUAGUUUUGUGUUGUUUCUAGAUUUCUAUCUUAUCUCCUAUUAUGAGAACCAUUCUAUAUUACUAAAGUAAAGAUACAGAUCGUAAACAGCAGGCACCAAAUAGUUAAGAGGUAUAAGACCAAAUUCAUCCUCUUUGUAAUUCCACUUAUGUAAUGGUGUUCCACCCAGGAUGAAUUUGCCUCACUGUUUUUCCCAGCCUGUAUUUGACACACUAUAAAUCUCAUGUGCUCUCUGUGUUAAAUAGCAAGAGUCUCUCCCUUUACUUAGUGUCCUGUCAGUGAGGUCAGGGGUCUGUGACACAAGCCACUGAUGAUCAGCAGGGGUAUGAUGUCAUAACUAGGACUGUGGGCACCAUUGAAUGGGUGCUCAGACCUUCUAAUAUGAUCUAAAUUUUCAAAAGUGGCUAAUGAUUUUGGAUGCCUCUACUGUUGGGGUUACAAACCAAGACCCUUUAAAGAGCCCGAUUUUUCUGUGGGUGAGUAUUCAGCCCUUUCUGAGGCUCGGGCUUUGGUGAUGUCUCAUAUUGGGGACCCAACAUCACUAGCCCCUUCUAAAAAUGUAAGCUGUACAUGUCCAUGAACUAUUUCUCUGCACACUAUCUCACCACUCUCCUGGAUUUCCCACUAUGUGGACAAAAAUAACAAUACAAUUUAGAAGUAUAGUUUUUUCCUUUAAUCAGAUGUAAUUUUGUCAGUUUUAAUCUGGAUGUAUUUAUUACCUUGGUAUUGCUUGAAGUUAUGGAUUGAAUAAGAAGUGACACGUACACAUACACUGUAAGAAUCCAAAAGUACUUAACAUUGUCAUUUUCUAGAUUAUAGGCAUUUCAUUGUGUGUCAUCUGGAUAUAUUGAGGGUACAUUUUAUUUAAAAAUUUUAUUAACUUAAAAAAAAUUCACACCUCAGUUAAAAAUGCAGACCUUGCCAGCAUGUUUUUAAGUGUGUGUGUGUUGGAUGGAGAGGGGGGAUGGAAAAGGAAGUAGUAGUUCCUCCCCAAAUUAUAUCUACCUCUUCUUCCCCUUUGAUUGUGUGAGCGUUAGCUUCUCAAAUCCAGCAUUUCAGUUCCCCUGAUAUGAGAUGGAGCAGAAUAAAAAGCUCCCACCUAGUGCAUCACAGGGUCUGUGGCCAGAAGCAUCCAAACCCUGUGCAUGCCAGAUUUAAUCUAAUUACUGAAGAGUUGCAGAGGAUUUAGUAAAGAGCAGCAAGAAUUAUUCUAAGACUGUAGGACACAUCUUACAGUGGCAACUUGAUCAUGGCCUCUAAGUACCUACACAGGAAGAAGGUAUCUGGUACUAACCAGAGGACUCUUCAAUCUAGUUGUCAAAAGCAUAACAACAUAAAAUUGCUGAAACCUGAAGUUAGGAAAAUUCAUACUGGAAAUAAGGCAUAAAUUGUUAAAUGAGGGUCAUUACACAUUGGAACACCUUAGCAGGGGAGUAGUACAUUCUCGCUCACUCUAAGUCUUUAAAACAAGGCUUUCUAAAAUGUUUACUCAAGUUCAGUUGCAAAUUAUUGGGCUCAGUGCAGGAAUUAUGAGGUGAAUUAUUAGGUCUCUGCAGACCUUAUAGUCUGUCAAUCAAAGACAUCAAUCUCUGAUCCCAUUCAUGCCCCCCCCAUCCCAGAUUCCAAA
Dermochelys coriacea (leatherback sea turtle) is the source of this 5110-nucleotide long non-coding RNA. RefSeq lists it as uncharacterized. Lineage: Eukaryota; Metazoa; Chordata; Testudines; Dermochelyidae. The transcript is spliced from 6 exons. The record is from RefSeq and is a predicted model, not a curated record.